Mirounga angustirostris (Northern elephant seal) is the source of this 1978-nucleotide long non-coding RNA. RefSeq lists it as uncharacterized. Lineage: Eukaryota; Metazoa; Chordata; Mammalia; Carnivora; Phocidae. The record is from RefSeq and is a predicted model, not a curated record. The transcript has 3 exons.
GUUUGCACAAGAAGCUGUAUGCUAGCUGUUCGGUCUGGCUCACUAACCCUAAGAGUUGGGACAUUCACGGAAGAUUUUAUUUAUUUAUUUAACAGAGAGAGCGCGCGCACAAGCAGGGGGAGCUGCAGGCAGAGGGAGAGGGAGAAGCUGGCUCCCCUCUGAGCAAGGAGCCCUGGGGCUUGAUCCCAGGACUCUGGGAUCAUGACCUGAGCCAAAGGCAGAUACUUAACCGACUGCGCCACCCAGAUGAUUCAACAGCUCAUCUUCCAACAAAAGGAACGUGAAGUACGGACUUGCGUUCAACAACAGAUGAUGUUCUCCAAACAACCUUCCAAUGAAUGGAAUCUUGACAGUGGAUCUGAACUUCAGAGAACAAUAUAUCCUGCAGGCUGACUUCAUCUGCCCCCUGCUAAAAUGGGGAAGUGAGAAAGGAAAAAGAUAACCCCGCAAGUGGAUAGCUAGGCUGUAGUGUUCCUAACCAAUCACCAGCUACCCUCACAGGAUAUAAAUAAUAAUCAGACAAAGCCAUUCUGUGACUUUAGUGGAACAAAGCAGAGUGGAGGCCACUUUGAAACCACAGAAAUUGCUAACAUCUUCCUCUUGUAACGAACAAACUGAUUACAGGUCCUUUACCACCGAUAGCUCUAACCCCACCUUAAUCCUUUGGUAUUGUAGAUACAAAUUACCAAAGAUCUACCCACUCACCAAAUUGCCCCUGCUUCCUGACAGCACCCCCACUUUCCCUAAAACCACCACAGAAUCAGCCAACACAAGCUCAAGCCUUCUAAUAAGCCCUUCCCAAUUCUUCCUUAAAGACACACCCACAGUUUCUCUGACGAGUGUUCUUUCCUGUUGCAGCAAAUUAAAUAAACCUAAAUUUAGCGGGUGUCUGGCUGGCUUAGUUGGGAGAUCACACCACUCUUGAUCUCGGGGUCCUGAGCGUGAGCCCCAUGUUGGGUGUAGAGAUUACUUUAAAAAAAAAAAAAAGGAAAAAGAAAAAGUUACCAACCCCCUCCUCCCAACUUUAACUUCAGGUAGUUCUUAUGGUCUUUCAGCUGGUGAGCUCUAAUAUAGGAUAUACAUCAAACUGUGAAUUAAUGGUUAGCUCUAUGGGUAAGAAAACAGGUAAUUUCUUCUUUACAAUGUAUAUAUUUCAGUAUGGGUUGAGUUUUUGACCACAGGCAUGGAUCGAGAAAAAGAAGAAAUAUAUUUGAUUGGGGCCAGAGAAGGACCUCCACUGGUUUCCCUUGCCAAUAAGAAAAAGAUCAUAUCCUUAGUACGUGUACAAAGUUCAGAUUAAUUGAGUCCACUAUUCCCAGAAGCUCCCUUGCUCACAGCUUCCCUAUGUUCUUGAGCCUCUAGCAGUGCUAAAUUUAUUUCCCAAACCCUAUGCAAUUCCAUUUUCCACUAUCCAUUUAAACAUGCAAACAAUAUCCUUCCUGCAACUGCCUGCCUUUUCCCCAAUAAAGAACUUCCUUUUAAAAAUUGAAUCAACAGGUGAAUGUACACACAAAAGGCAGUAUAUACAUACAAUGGGAUGUUGUUCACCAAUAAAAAGAAAUUAAAUCCUGAUACGUGUUACAACACAGGUGAACUUUGGAAACCCUUUGCUAAGUGAAAUAAGCCAGAUGCAAAAGGACAAAUACUGUCUGAUUCCACUUAGAGUAGGUACCUAGAGUAGGCAAAUCCAUAGAGACAAAAAGAAUAGAAGUUAGGGUGCCUGGGUGGCUCAGUUGGUUAAGCGACUGCCUUCGGCUCAGGUCAUGAUCCUGGAGUCCCGGGAUCGAGUCCCACAUCGGGCUCCCUGCUCGGCAGGGAGUCUGCUUCUCUCUCUGAACCUCCCUCCUCUCAUGCUCUCUAUCUCAUUCUCUCUCUCAAAUAAAUAAAUAAAUAAAAAAAUCUUACAAAAAAAAAAAAAAAGAAUAGAAGUUACCAGGGGCUGGGCAGAGGAAGGAAUGGGGAGUUACUGUCUAAUGGG